Molecule: ribosomal RNA, 490 nt
Filed under: uncultured bacterium
Lineage: Bacteria
Description: partial 16S ribosomal RNA
Rfam family: Bacterial small subunit ribosomal RNA
Source: RNAcentral
AGUGAACGCUGGCGGUAGGCCUAACACAUGCAAGUCGAACGGCAGCACAGUAAGAGCUUGCUCUUACGGGUGGCGAGUGGCGGACGGGUGAGGAAUACAUCGGAAUCUACUUUUUCGUGGGGGAUAACGUAGGGAAACUUACGCUAAUACCGCAUACGACCUACGGGUGAAAGCAGGGGAUCUUCGGACCUUGCGCGAUUGAAUGAGCCGAUGUCGGAUUAGCUAGUUGGCGGGGUAAAGGCCCACCAAGGCGACGAUCCGUAGCUGGUCUGAGAGGAUGAGCAGCCACACUGGAACUGAGGCACGGUCCAGACUCCUACGGGAGGCAGCAGUGGGGAAUAUUGGACAAUGGGCGCAAGCCUGAUCCAGCCAUACCGCGUGGGUGAAGAAGGCCUUCGGGUUGUAAAGCCCUUUGUUGGGAAAGAAAAGCAGCAGGUUAAUACCCCGCUGUUCUGACGGUACCCAAAGAAUAAGCACCGGCUAACUUCGU